AUACAUGCAAGUCGAGCGAGGCCUUCGGGCCUAGCGGCGGACGGGUGAGUAACACGUGGGUAACCUGCCUGUAAGACUGGGAUAACUUCGGGAAACCGAAGCUAAUACCGGAUAAUAUUUUUGGUUGCAUGACCGAAAAUUGAAAGGUGGCUUUUAGCUAUCACUUACAGAUGGACCCGCGGCGCAUUAGCUAGUUGGUGAGGUAACGGCUCACCAAGGCAACGAUGCGUAGCCGACCUGAGAGGGUGAUCGGCCACACUGGGACUGAGACACGGCCCAGACUCCUACGGGAGGCAGCAGUAGGGAAUCUUCCGCAAUGGACGAAAGUCUGACGGAGCAACGCCGCGUGAGUGAAGAAGGUUUUCGGAUCGUAAAACUCUGUUGUUAGGGAAGAACAAGUGCCGUUUGAAUAAGGCGGCACCUUGACGGUACCUAACCAGAAAGCCACGGCUAACUACGUGCCAGCAGCCGCGGUAAUACGUAGGUGGCAAGCGUUGUCCGGAAUUAUUGGGCGUAAAGCGCGCGCAGGUGGUUCCUUAAGUCUGAUGUGAAAGCCCACGGCUCAACCGUGGAGGGUCAUUGGAAACUGGGGGAACUUGAGUGCAGAAGAGGAAAGU
Molecule: ribosomal RNA, 617 nt
Filed under: Bacillus sp. (in: firmicutes)
Lineage: Bacteria; Bacillati; Bacillota; Bacilli; Caryophanales; Bacillaceae
Description: bacterial SSU rRNA
Rfam family: Bacterial small subunit ribosomal RNA
Source: RNAcentral